GCGCGAAAACUCUACAAUGCACGAAAGUGUGAUAGGGGAACUCAGAGUGCUUAUACUUUUAGUAUAGGCUUUUGCCAAGUCGAAAACGCUUGGCGAAUAAGUGGUGGGCAAGACCGGUGCCAGCCGCCGCGGUAACACCGGCGCCACGAGUGGGAAUCGAUUUUAUUGGGUCUAAAGCGUCCGUAGCAGGCUUACUAAAUUGCUUGUGAAAUUGUAGAGCUUAACUCUACGAAUCGCAGGUAGGACUGGUAGGCUUGAGACCGGGAGACGUUGAAGGUAUUUGGGGGGGAGCGGUAAAAUGUGAGAAUCCCCCAAGGACCACCUGUUGCGAAGGCGUUCAACAAUAACGGGUCUGACUGUGAGGGACGAAAGCUAGGGGAGCGAAAUGG
RNAcentral lists this ribosomal RNA (389 nucleotides) under uncultured euryarchaeote. RNAcentral describes it as "bacterial SSU rRNA". It matches the Rfam family "Archaeal small subunit ribosomal RNA", at positions 339 to 727 of the family's 1478-position model. Lineage: Archaea; Methanobacteriati; Methanobacteriota. The record is from RNAcentral.